GUGCAGGGGAAGUGACUGGUGCUAG
This 25-nucleotide non-coding RNA is filed under the name Cricetulus griseus (Chinese hamster). The record is from RNAcentral. Lineage: Eukaryota; Metazoa; Chordata; Mammalia; Rodentia; Cricetidae.